RNAcentral lists this ribosomal RNA (449 nucleotides) under uncultured bacterium. Its description in RNAcentral is "bacterial SSU rRNA". It matches the Rfam family "Bacterial small subunit ribosomal RNA", at positions 355 to 825 of the family's 1533-position model. The record is from RNAcentral.
UGGGGAAUAUUGCGCAAUGGGGGAAACCCUGACGCAGCGACGCCGCGUGUGGGAUGAAGGUCUUCGGAUUGUAAACCACUGUCGCGAGGGACGAAGCUCUGACGGUACCUCGAAAGGAAGCACCGGCUAACUCUGUGCCAGCAGCCGCGGUAAUACAGAGGCCACGAACGUUGUUCGGAAUCACUGGGCAUAAAGCGCACGUAGGCGGCUAGGUCCGUCCGAUGUGAAAGCCCCCGGCUCAACCGGGGAAUUGCAUCGGAUACAGCCUGGCUUGAGGACGGUUGGGGUGAGUGGAACUCCUGGUGGAGCGGUGAAAUGCGUAGAUAUCGGGAGGAACACCUGUGGCGAAGGCGGCCACCUGGUUGGAUACUGACGCUGAGACGCGAAAGCGUGGGGAGCAAACAGGAUUAGAUACCCCGGUAGUCCCUGAGCGGGCUGGCAAGGCGCAU